RNAcentral lists this long non-coding RNA (8119 nucleotides) under Zea mays. RNAcentral describes it as "long non-coding RNA (ZMAY_LNC005035)". The record is from RNAcentral. Lineage: Eukaryota; Viridiplantae; Streptophyta; Magnoliopsida; Poales; Poaceae.
CCUGACAGGCUCUCCUUCGCAUUUGCGCGGGACAGAAAUGACUUGCCGAGGAUGGAAGCAGAGAGACGGAUUUGGCCGAGCGCACAGCAGCUCGCCAAAGACGGCGUCGAAGCAGCAGUGACCGCGGUCGAGUGAGGGAGUCAUCCUGGAUUCGCGGUUUAUCGACUCGGCACGGGGGCAACCAUGGCGUUGAAGGUAGGCAACAUGAGGAGCCAUCGAUUGACACCGGUCUUCGGAAUCGGCGGAUCUCGACGAUGGUGACAAGGAGGAGGCCACGAAGCGUCGUCGAGCAGAGCGCGACAAGCAAAUCGAGUCGGCCACGAGCGUGGAUUUGGAUCUGACCCCCAAGUUUUUGUAUGGAUCCUAUUCCCCAAUUUGUAGAUCUUCAAUUUCCUUACUUUAAUUUUCCAUAGCACAAACGAUGUUUGCAUGCACGAUUCGGACAAUCUUGACUUGUUCGUCCACGGUUGGAGUUUAGGGUUGGAAUGUGUAAAACACGUGAUAAACUGUGUACAACUCGAGAACUAGAUAAUUCAUUUUGGAUUGUAAUAUGUGUACCUCAUGCUAUAGUUUUGGUUAAAUCUGACGUGAAUCUGUUUGGAAUUGAAAAACAAGUGCUUCCUUUUAUACACCACUAUGUCGCUUCAAUGUUUGCGAACCAAGGUAAAGAAAUGUAAAAUCUUACAAUUUCCGUGCAUCCGACAUAAAUCUGUGGUCACAUAGCUAUUGUUAAACGGUUGCAAAUCCUAAGGAGGACCAUUAUUGUGCAACAACUACAUAUGGUAGAAGCGCUUGUUUUGAUGUGUGCACAUUUUGUUGCUAAAAGGAUCACGAUGCCCAAGAGGGGGGUGAAUUGGGCUUUUCUAAAAAUCAACACUAAUUAAAACCUAAGCAAGAGCCCAACUUCACCCCGACAACUAGCAAUAAGAGAAUAUGAAAGGGAAAUAGGAUCAAACCUUUUCCUAAAUGAUUUUGGUGGUUGAAUUGCCCAACACAAAUAAUUGGACUAACUAGUUUGCUCUAGAUCAUACAUUCUACAGGUGCCAAAGGUUCAACACAAACCAAUCAAAAGAACAAGUUAGGCUUCAAAAGAAAGGAGCAAAAAGGAAACCGAAGUGUGCCUGGUCUGGCGCACCGGGCUGUCCGGUGUGCCACCAGACAGUGUCCGGUGCACCAGGGUGAAUCAGCUCAAGCUCCUCAACUUCGGGUUUCCCAGACGCAGCUCCACUAUAAUUCAUUGGACUGUCCGGUGCACCCGCAGAGCAACGGCUACUUGCGCGCAACGGUCGACUCUGCAAAGUGAACAGUGCAAUUCAGAAGUCAGAGCAGAUGGUCAGAGGGGCACCGGAUUGUCCGGUGUAGCACCGGACUGUCCGGUGCCGCAUGAGGACAAAGCCUCCAACGGUCGACCAGCUCCAAGCCCUAACUACAAGAUGACGUGGCGGCGCACCGGACACUGUCCGGUGGUGCACCGGACUGUUCGGUGCGCCCAUCGCCAGUAGCCUUCUCCAACGGCUACAAUUUGGUUGGUGGCUAUAAAUACCACCCCAACCGGCCACUUUAAGGUGUGGGAGCCCAAGCAACAUUCCAAGUCAUAUAGUUGACAUAUUCAAGCCAUCCCAACCACCUCUAUUCAUUGACCCAUCCUAUACACAAGAUUUAGACCACUACUAACCACAAUAGUGCCACAAAAUAGAAAGCAAGCAAAGAAGAGCCUCUUGUGAGAGUUUAGCUCUAGUGCAUUGUGAGAUUGAUUGAGUGAAAGUGUGUGCUACAUCUUGCGUUCAUUUGUGCGUGGAGUUUUGACUCCCAUUGAACUUCCUCCAAAGUUUUGGAGGCUUGUAAAGCUAGCAAGAGACACCUAAGUGUGUGGUGAUCCUUGCGGGGUCUUAAGUGAUCCUUGAGAAGAAGAAGAGCUCACCGAUCUUGGGGAUCGGUUGAGAGAGGGAAAGGGUUGAAAGAGACCCAUCCUUAGUGGACUCCUCAACGGGGACUAGGCUUCGAGGGUCGAACCUUGGUAAAACAAAUCACCCAUGUCUUGUGUGCUUAUUGCUUGUGAUUUGUUUGUUCUUUCCCUUUCUAAGUUUUUCUUGCACUAUUCUUUGCUAAUACUAUUUGGUGUUGCUUUAAGUUAAAUUCUCAUUUAGUGAAGCAACACUUUGCAAGAAAGAACUUGUGUUAUUGCUCUUCUUAUCUAAGCCUUCUUGAUUUAUUCUCUUAGACUUAUUAGUAGUAUUGAUUCAUCAAUUCCACAUUAUUUGAAAGCAAUACUCCUUACAAGCGAAGGACUUAGUUUUUAUACUCCGAUAAUCGUGAAUCUUGUUCUAACCACUAAUUAAGGGAUCUAGUUGGGGUGUAAAGUUUUAAUUUUCAGGUUUCGCCUAUCCACCCCCCCUCUCUAGGCGACUUUCAGUUGGUAUCAAAGCAAGACACUUCAUAUUGAGUCUAACAACUCGAAGUGAUGGCUCGUAGAAGAUCCCAAAAGAAUAAGAAGACAACUCCAAAGGAGAACAAGGAGGUAACUCUUGAGAUAUUACUUUCCGAUUGUUCUAAUUAUGAUUCAUGGUCUACUAGAGUGAUAAAUGCUUUUAGAACCGUAGAUCCACAAUUAGAACAAAUUUUAGACAAGAGUAUUAUUCAUCCUAGUUAUGAUAGGAAAAAUGCUUCCGAGGAAGAUCAAAGAUGUAUACGCUUAAACUAUCUAGCUUAUGACAUCUUAAGUAAUUCUCUUAACAAUGAAGAUUAUCGUGCCUUCAUAUCAAAUUAUAAUGAAUCUAUUCGUGAUGCGCAUGAUAUUUGGACUAGAAUUAAAGUCAAAUUUGAUGAGUCCAAACAUGAUAGUUCAUUUUGUGCUUCUACUUCCUUUGGUCUUUGUGAUACUAACCCUUGCAAGGAAGAAGUAGAAAAUGACCAAUGGAGACCAAACGAUGAAUCCACCUCUCCAAGAGGUUUGUCUUCCCACUUCGAUUCCCACAUAUGUUGUGUGGCUAAUGAAAAUGAUAGUGGAAGCACAAACGAGGAUGAGGAGGAAGAAAGAAGCUUCAUGCAACUCUACGCUCGCCUAAGCCAAGAAUAUAAGGCGGUCAUGCUAAAACUUCUAGAAAGAGCGAGAGAGCAAAGCGAAGCUCGUCAAAGGCUAGAAAAUGUUCUCUCCAUGAAAAUGCUACACUUUGACGAGUUGACUAAAGAACAUGAGGAGCUAAAGUGCUCUCAUGUUGAUUUGGUCCAAAGGUAUGAAACUAUUUCAAUUGAGCAAGAUAACACUUUACAUUGUAUCGCUCAAUUAGUAAAUAGGAAUGCCUUGCUUAAGGACCAAGUAGAAAAGCUAAAAUAUGAAAAUCUAGCUUUUCAAGAAAAAUAUGAUAUGCUCCUAUGUUCUCAUGAAAAUAUUAUGGAUGAUCAUAUCAUAUUAAAUAUUGCUCAUGAGGUUGUGAUAGAAAACUUAAAAUCCCAACAACCUCACUCAUGCACAUGUAUUCAAAUUGAAACUACAUUACCAUGUGCUAAUGCUUGUUGUCCGUCGACAAGCAAAUCUUCCUUUGAGCUAGAAUUUGCAGGAACAAAUGAUGAUACAUAUCAAAAGCUCAAAGAAGAAAAUGAGAGGCUAAAAAUGAGCUUGACACAACUAAAAGGGAAGUGCAUUGCUCAACCUUCUCAAGAUAAUCGUGAUCACAUGGUGAAGAAGCUUGAGACGGGAACAACCGUGGCAUGCACUAAAUCCCUUGAAGUAAAUGUAAAGGACUUGAGGAUUGCCAAGAGGAGAGAACAAAAGAAGAAAAUCAAUACCUCUUCCAAAAGCCUCAACCAUGCCUCCAUAAAAGGUAACAUCCAAGGUAAUAAUCAAGUCACACUUCACACUAAGAGAAGUAAGAAGUGUAGUGAAUGCUUUGAAAAGGGGCACUCGAUUAGGACAUGUCCCUAUAUUAAAAAUGACUUGAUUAUUAACAAGGAUGAUAAACUUUGUUUUAAAUGCUCCAAGAAGGGACACUUGUUUAGGUCUUGUCCCCAUUUAAAACAAAAAGGCAUAGUGUUAGAAAAGAAAAUAUUCACUAACCAUGUAGCAAGAAAGAAAUAAGGAAAGAAGAAAUCUUCAAGACUUGAGGAUCGCCUAUGCUACAUAUGCCGAAAGAAGGGACAUCAAUGCAAGGAUUGUCCCAUUGGUAACAAUCCCACUCCUAGCUUGUCAAUUAAUUCUCUUGUAACUAGGCAACCCAAAAUUGCAACUUGUGCUAGAAAGGUAAUGAGUUUACCUAGUGCUAGCAUAAAGGACAUUUGGGUUCCUAGAUCCUUGUUGACUAACCUUGAUGGACCCAUCAAGAGAUGGGUACCAAAAUAUGCUUGACAAGCCUUGCAGGAGAAGGCGAUGGUAUGAAACUUUGGGGUGCUUGAGAGAGUUAAUUCAAUUUUUCUUAACUCAAACUAUCAAUCUUCAAUGAUCUAUAUCCAAGAUUGACCCAAAGUUAUUUUGAGUUGUUAUAUCUAAAACUCAUAUCAUCUUAGGGAAGAUAUUGAUAUUGUAGGAAAUAAAGAAUUAAUCCUAUGCCGAAAAGUCAAGGCCUACAACAUGGAGGAAAGCCAAAGGAUGGUAACAAUUAUGCUUUUAAGUGCAAGUAUCUUAAAUUAUCAUUUCUUGUGUGUCUUGUGUAGUCACAUAGAAAGCACUUCAAAUGUCUUUAAAUUAUGUCACCAUUCUUUAAAGAAAUUCCUCUCAUAUGGUAGAUUGCAUAUUCAUCAUUUCUAUACUUUGGCAAUAUACAUGCUUUUAGUAAUUGUAAAGUAACUCAUGGCAUGCUUUACACUAUUUAUCCUAUCAUUGCCAUGUUCUAGAUAUAGAGAGAUAUUCCAUGUUCUUAAAAGAAUAAGGUGUCAUGUAAGGAAUUCAAAUCCUUAGGACACUUAUAAAAGGAAAAAUCUCUCUAUAACUAGAAGAGUGAGACUAAUGCUUUUAUCUAAAUAACCCAAGUAGUCUCACUUAUAGAGAAUAAGUUUCUCUUUGGAGAUGCGUAAUCUAACAUGAAAAGAAAAGUCAAUCCAAUGAUUUAUGUUGUUUUGCCUCUUGCUUAAAUUGAAUAUGAUUGUUCUAUAUUUAUCGCUCUCCAUGUUAUGAAUUAGAUUUAUUCUCAUAAUCCUAAAGAAUUAUCUAUGCUUGUUUUGUAAGCAAAAUUAAGCAUACAUCAUGGAAUAACCUAGUUCAUAUUAUAAAGUUUCCAUGCUUUAGUAAUAUAUUUUCCAUUCCUUAUCAAAAUGAUUACACAAAGGGAAACUAGUGCUUGUAUUACUAAUGACAUAUCUCUUGAGCUUUCUUAUGAAAAUCUACAAGAGAGUAAGAGCAAGCCGCAAGCCUCAAGGGUUACUCUUCACCCAAAGGAAGAAAGGUAAACGUAAAGGUAUGGGAAUUCAUCUUCUUAAUCAAAUAUAGUUCCCAUCAAUGGUUAUUUACUCUAAAUUCUACCUAUGUGAAGAAUAGAUUCUUUAUUGGACUUAAGUCAGCUAGAUGUGCAUUCAAUCUCAUUCUCAUAAAUGCACUUGUCCAUUAGAAUCUAAUUCAUGCCUUUGCUAUAUCUAUUCUCAUAUUGAUUUGCUUUUAAGUCAUGAUAAUAAUUUCAAUAUGAAGAAGUAAAAUUCCUAUGAUUGAUCAAGAUAUUUAAAAGGUGCUUAUUCCUCUUUUCUAAUAAUGUGCACUAAUGUUAAGGAUUUUACUUCAUGUCUGUGUGACUUGUGAAUGAUAAAUUGUUUAUACUCCUUAUCUAAAAGAAAUCAUUCUUCAUCAUAUACUCACUUGUACUAUUAACAUCUCUCUUGAGUAUUUUCAAUAAGUUUGGAAGGAAAAAGAGUCAACUAUAAAGGGAGGACACUCAAAUGAAAAAGGAAGACAUCAAGAGCAACAACACCUACUUGGAUAAUGAGAUCUUCAAAAUAAUCAAUGGUGUGGUUGUAAGCAUUCUAAAUCUUUUUCAUUGUGAGAAUACUAGGCAUAAAAUGUUUAUUGCAAAUUUUGUAAGCCUCGAUCAAGAUGAAUAAUGAUUCUCCCUAUUUGUUUUAAAAGUAAGUACAUCUAUCCAAUUCAUUCAAUUUCUUGAUGCAUAUCUUUAGGGGGAGCAUAUUUCUAAAUCUUAAUUAUAUUGAGACUAACACUUUAUCUUAGUAAUCUCAUAUAGUCUCAAGUAUAAGAAUAAGUUUCUCAUGAAGUAUGCUACUACAUGUCAAUUCAUCUUGGUAAAGUAAUAUCACCUUUAUCAAGGAUUGUAGCUUUCAUUGUUAAAGUAGCAUAUUUACUGGAUUCUCCCAUGUUAAGCUUGUUUAAUGAUCCAAUGCCUAUGUUGUUCUUUUGAUCGCAUCUGUUGUGUGUUUGAUCAUUGAAUAAACUUCAAUUAACACUUAUGCUUCUUAGUGCCUCAUGUAAUUUCAAUCAAUAUCUCUCUUGAUAUGCACUAAGUUAAAAGGAGAAUUCAUGAUACAUCUAUGCAAUUUGUGAUCUAUUUGAUAUAUGCUAACAAUGACUUAGAAAAGGAUCACUAGUUGUAGAACUCUUUCUUGUGAAAAAUAUUUCCAUAUAUUGUCUUAAGUAUAGGUCUUAAGCAUCUAAGACUAAGGACAACGCACAAUGAAGAGAGUGUCUCUAUGUGAAGGUACAAAAGGGUAAAACAACUUCCUUUCAUUCUAACUUGUACCUAAAUCUUCCUUUUUCCAUACUUUCUUUGCAUAUCUUGUAUAAAAAGGAAGAGAAAGCAUGUUCAUGCAUUACCCCUGCUUCAUAUCUAGUUUAACUACUCAAACAUUCAUUCUUGCAUCUUUGUUAAAGCUGGGUGAAGUGAUUUUAUUGUCAAAGAGCUUAAAGCUUAACCUUCUAACGACGAUAAGCUGCCUUUGUUCCAAAGGUGGAUGGUCCUUAAUCCUCUUUGAAAUCCUUAAGGGAAAAUGCUUAAGUUGUCUAUAACAUGCUUUCAUUAGUGCAUAAACUGUCAUGAGCAUUACACUUAUACUAUGACACAAUGAACUACACAUUCUCUAUGAUAUAGAUAUGACCUCAUUAACCUAACUAUAUGCACUUGGCAUUUAAAGGCCAAAAUUCGUAUUCCUCUCCCGACACAUAUUUAGGGGGAGCAAUCUAUAUUAUAUAGAAUUGUUUAAGCUUAAUUGACAUAUCUUUUUAAUCAUGUCUCUUUCCUUUGGUACAUUUGCAUAUUUCCUAUCACUAUUGUGCUAAGGCUAAGACUAAUAUGUUUCCAUGAGCAUCUUGUGUAUUAAGUCUUAGAUUGAAAGGGAAAUGGAGUAUUCGGCAAAGAUAUCGCUUCCACUCUACAUCUUCGGUAUUAUCCUUCCUUGUCGGUAUUCCGCCAGCUCUCCAAUUUGGUAUAAUCUUCACUCAUAUAUUGUUUGCCAAAAGGGAGAGAACGUAAAAAUGGCUUAUAUUUCACUCACAAGUAUCCGUUUUUGGCGAUUCAUGCCAAUGGGGGAGAAAGUAUUAGCCCCAAAGCAAAAGGACCGCACCACCACCAAUUUCAAAAAUUGUAGUCUUUCAAUUUGUAUUAAGAGAAGUUUUUCAAUUGAUAUCUUAAUUUUGAUAUAAUUUCAAAAUUGGUAUGACCCCUUUCAAAAUUAAUCUCUAAAACCCUCUUGAACACUAAGAGGAGAAUUUCAUUGAGGGGGAGUUUUGUUUAGUCAAAGGAAAAGCAUUUGAAACAGGGGGAGAAAAUUUCAAAUCUUGAAAAUGCUUCUCGAAAUCUUAUUCAUUUAUCUUUGACUAUUUGCAAAAAGACUUUGAAAAAGAAUUUACAAAAGAAUUUGCAAAAUCAAAACAAGUGGUGCAAGUGUGGUCCAAAAUGUUAAAUAUAAAGAAAGCAUCCAUGCAUAUCUUAUGAAAUGUAUAUUGGUUUAAUUCCAAGUAAUCUUUGCACUUACCUUAUGCAAACUAGUUCAAUUCUGCACUUAUAUAGUUGCUUUGGUUUGUGUUGGCAUCAAUCACCAAAAAGGGGGAGAUUGAAAGGGAAAUAGGAUCAAACCUUUUCCUAAAUGAUUUUGGUGGUUGAAUUGCCCAACACAAAUAAUUGGACUAACUAGUUUGCUCUAGAUCAUACAUUCUACAGGUGCCAAAGGUUCAACACAAACCAAUCAAAAG